This 259-nucleotide long non-coding RNA is filed under the name Gossypium raimondii (Peruvian cotton). RNAcentral's name for it is "long non-coding RNA (GRAI_LNC004041)". Lineage: Eukaryota; Viridiplantae; Streptophyta; Magnoliopsida; Malvales; Malvaceae. The record is from RNAcentral.
GAAUAAUUUGAAUAUCAAACUAUAAUAUUUUACAUUUUUACCCUAAACUCCCAAACUUUUUUACUUUUCCCCUAAAACUUUUACUCCUUCCCACUUUCCCCCCAAAACUUUUACUCCCCUCCCCUCCCAACCCCCAAAUCUACCCAAAAUCCAUUUCCCACCAAAAUGUUACCUUUCAUUUACUUUUUCUCAAAAUUUUACUCCCAAAAACCCUCAAAACCUUUUAUUUUCCCCCAAAAUUUUUACUCCCUCUCACUUU